AACUACACCUGGGUUAAGAAGAAUGACACUGGAGUCUGGCAGGCAGGAUCAGGACAGAGUUUGAACUUUUCUAACUUUAGAUCCUGGAACAGAGGACAGUACUACUGUGAGGCACAGAACAGACUUGGAGCUCAGAAUGCUUCUGCUCUACUGGUCACAGUGCAAGAGCAGAGCCUUCAGAGAGUGACAAACGCAGCCAGCGACACAAACUCUGUGCUUCAGAG
Molecule: long non-coding RNA, 224 nt
Organism: Anguilla anguilla (European eel)
Lineage: Eukaryota; Metazoa; Chordata; Actinopteri; Anguilliformes; Anguillidae
Exons: 3
Source: RefSeq, a predicted model, not a curated record